This 1632-nucleotide ribosomal RNA is filed under the name Triticum aestivum (bread wheat). Its description in RNAcentral is "partial small subunit ribosomal RNA". Lineage: Eukaryota; Viridiplantae; Streptophyta; Magnoliopsida; Poales; Poaceae. The record is from RNAcentral.
AUGCCUCCUCCCCUUCGCCUCCUCGCCCUCCUCCUCCUCCUCCACCUCCCCUUCGCCCUCUCCUCCCGCCACCACCACAAAGCCCCGGCGCCGCCGCCCCGGAAGGCGCCUCCUCCGGCGGCCAACUACGCGGCGCCGCUCCCCGUCCUCCUCGCCUGCAACGCCACCCGCUUCCGGCCCGCCUGCGUCGCCACGCUCUCCGCCGCCAACGUCACCGCCGCGUCCUCCCCCUCCGACCUCCUCGCCGCCACGCUCUCCGCGCUCCGCGCCCGCCUCCCGCCGGCCGUCUCCACCGCGCGCUCCGUCCUCGCCUCCUCCAAGAACGUCAACCUCACCGCCGCCGCCACCAACUGCCUCACCGCCCUCUCCCUCUCCUCGAACCGCCUCGCGCCGCCGCCCUCGCCGUCGGCGCUCAUGCCCGCCUCCGCCUCGCUCCUCCACCUCUACGACUGCUGGUCCGCCUACAAGUACGUCAACUUCUCCCGGACCAUCUACGACGCCAUGGCCUACCUCAACGACACCAUCACCGUCAACAGCAACUACAUCUCCAUGCUCGCCGCGCUGAAGCGGUACGGCGACGACACGUCCCACUGGGCGCCGCCGCAGACGGAGCGCGACGGGUACUGGCCUUCGCCCGCGGCGUCGGGCGGCGACGUGGACGCGCUCGGCGUGCCCAAGGGGCUCCCCGCGGACGCGACGGUGUGCGGCGCCGGGUGCGACUACAAGACGGUGCGGGAGGCGGUGGCGGCCGCGCCGGACAACGGGGGCAAGAGGUUCGUGGUGUACGUGAAGCAGGGCGUGUACAAGGAGACGGUGAGCGUGCCGUGGGAGAAGACCAACCUGGUGCUGGUCGGCGACGGCAUGGGGAAGACGGUCAUCACCGGCGACCUCAACGCCGACACGCCCGGCGUGUCCACGUUCAACACGGCCACCGUAGGCGUGCUCGCGGACGGCUUCAUGGCGCGGGACCUGACGAUCGCGAACACGGCGGGGCCGGACGCGCACCAGGCGGUGGCGUUCCGCUCGACGGGCGACCGCACGGUGCUGGACACGGUGGAGCUGCUGGGGCACCAGGACACGCUGUACGUGCACGCCAUGCGCCAGUUCUACACCCGCUGCCGCGUGGCCGGCACGGUGGACUUCGUCUUCGGCAACUCGGCGGCCGUGCUCCACGACAGCGACCUCGUCGUGCUGCCCCGGCAGCUGCGGCCGGAGAAGGGCGAGACGGACGCGCUGACGGCGCAGGGCCGCACCGACCCGGCGCAGCCCACGGGGAUCGUGCUCCGGGGCUGCCGCGUCAACGGCAGCGACGAGUACAUGGGGUUCUACCGGCAGAAGCCCGGCGUCCACCACGUGUUCCUGGGCCGGCCCUGGAAGGAGUACUCCCGCACGGUGUUCGUCGGGUGCACGAUGGCCGAGAUCGUGCGGCCCGAGGGGUGGAUGCCCUGGAGCGGCGACUUCGCGCUCAAGACGCUCUACUACGGGGAGUAUGAUAGCGCUGGCCCUGGCGCCGGCGGGCGGAGCGGCGGCGGCAGGGUGGCGUGGAGCAGCCAGGUGCCCAAGGAGCGCGUCGACGUGUACAGCGUCGCCAGCUUCAUACAGGGGGACGAGUGGAUACCCAAAGUGAAGUAG